GCUACAGGCUUAACACAUGCAAGUCGAGGGGCAGCAUGGUCUUAGCUUGCUAAGGCCGAUGGCGACCGGCGCACGGGUGAGUAACACGUAUCCAACCUGCCGUCUACUCUUGGACAGCCUUCUGAAAGGAAGAUUAAUACAAGAUGGCAUCAUGAGUCCGCAUGUUCACAUGAUUAAAGGUAUUCCGGUAGACGAUGGGGAUGCGUUCCAUUAGAUAGUAGGCGGGGUAACGGCCCACCUAGUCUUCGAUGGAUAGGGGUUCUGAGAGGAAGGUCCCCCACAUUGGAACUGAGACACGGUCCAAACUCCUACGGGAGGCAGCAGUGAGGAAUAUUGGUCAAUGGGCGAGAGCCUGAACCAGCCAAGUAGCGUGAAGGAUGACUGCCCUAUGGGUUGUAAACUUCUUUUAUAAAGGAAUAAAGUCGGGUAUGGAUACCCGUUUGCAUGUACUUUAUGAAUAAGGAUCGGCUAACUCCGUGCCAGCAGCCGCGGUAAUACGGAGGAUCCGAGCGUUAUCCGGAUUUAUUGGGUUUAAAGGGAGCGUAGAUGGAUAUUUAAGUCAGUUGUGAAAGUUUGCGGCUCAACCGUAAAAUUGCAGUUGAUACUGGAUAUCUUGAGUGCAGUUGAGGCAGGCGGAAUUCGUGGUGUAGCGGUGAAAUGCUUAGAUAUCACGAAGAACUCCGAUUGCGAAGGCAGCCUGCUA
RNAcentral lists this ribosomal RNA (703 nucleotides) under uncultured Bacteroidales bacterium. RNAcentral describes it as "bacterial SSU rRNA". It matches the Rfam family "Bacterial small subunit ribosomal RNA", at positions 39 to 731 of the family's 1533-position model. Lineage: Bacteria; Pseudomonadati; Bacteroidota; Bacteroidia; Bacteroidales. The record is from RNAcentral.